AGGUAGCUUUCCCUUCGAUCAACACACCCCCGAUAGCUUUUUUGUAAAGCUCGAAGCCCUCAUCAGGCAACUCAUUCGCCUCAACCAACAAUUGACCGUAGUUUUCCUAUAAAAUAAUUAAAACACAAAUGAAUAUUCAACCAACAACAGUUGCAGAAUAUAGUUUAAAAAUGACAUGAUGUUUAAAGGAUGAACUUUCCAAACAAACAUUUUUCUAACUAGCAAAUUCAGUUUCACUAAUUUAUCCUCUAUAAGCAUACAAUUGAAGUUAGGAUGCAUCUUCAUAAUAACCUUUAGAAAAUAACAAAGGUAAUCCCCCCAACCUCAACCCCACCUCCUAUUGAACAUUAAGACUAGAUUAAUUACUGUUCCAAAGAAUACUCUGUCUGAGUUUAAUUAGAUAUAUUCUUAAGUGGCUCCUACAAAGUUAUACUAACAUGGUUUUAAAUUUUAGCACAACAAAAGAAUAUAAAACAUAAUCAAAACCACUUUCAUUCAAGUAAUGGAAUUCAGCCCCAACCGAGCUGAAUCGGAUUGAGGCCAGGAAAAGAUAUUUUCUCGGACCCCAAACAGCUCAGCUCGAUC
RNAcentral lists this long non-coding RNA (585 nucleotides) under Panax ginseng (ginseng). RNAcentral describes it as "long non-coding RNA (PGIN_LNC010439)". The record is from RNAcentral. Lineage: Eukaryota; Viridiplantae; Streptophyta; Magnoliopsida; Apiales; Araliaceae.